Molecule: small nucleolar RNA, 66 nt
Organism: Nannospalax galili (Upper Galilee mountains blind mole rat)
Lineage: Eukaryota; Metazoa; Chordata; Mammalia; Rodentia; Spalacidae
Source: RefSeq, a predicted model, not a curated record
UUCACCAGUGAUGAGUUGAAUACCACCCAAGUCCGAUAACGGAUGAAAGGUAUUUUCUGAGUUUUG